GUGCUUGCUUCAGCAGCAUAUUCAUAUAAAAUGGGAACGAUAUAGAGAAGAUUAGCAUGGUCCCUGUGCAAGGAUGACACGCAAAUUCAUGAAGAAUUCCAUAUUUUU
RNAcentral lists this small nuclear RNA (108 nucleotides) under Spermophilus dauricus (Daurian ground squirrel). Lineage: Eukaryota; Metazoa; Chordata; Mammalia; Rodentia; Sciuridae. The record is from RNAcentral.